This is a long non-coding RNA of Homo sapiens (human), 482 nucleotides long. The record is from Ensembl. NCBI's taxonomy places the organism in Eukaryota, Metazoa, Chordata, Mammalia, Primates, Hominidae.
GUGAGUGCCUGCCCAUCAGAUAGAUACCUGAUCUUGCAAGACCGUCAUCAAAAGUCUCACUUUUGCUGUCUUCUGCGUUUCUAAAUCCAUUCUUUGGGUUCGGGCGAGUGAGUUUGUUUCUCACAGUAAGCUCUAGAACUUUGUGACUUAGCAGUUUAAGGAAAAAGCAAGUCUCUGUGGGGUCUCUCAAUGGCCAAAAAAUAGAGUGAGGAAUAAAUAGAGUUUUGUUUUGUUUUGUUUUGGUUUGUGGGUUUUGUUUCUUUGUUUGAAACAGGGUCUCACUCUGUCACCCAGGCUGAAGUGCAGUGGCACCAUCACAGAUCACUGCAGACUCCACCUCCUGGGCUCAAGCAAUCCUCCUGUCUCAGCCUCCCGAGUAGCUGGAACUCCCAAGUAACACACACAUUAGCAUGCCCAGCUAAUGUUUAAAUUAGGGUUUUAAUUCACAGAGAAAUAAAGAGCAUCUGAGCAUUCAUCUUCCA